UAUUCCUACGGGGGGCAGCAGUGGGGGAUAUUGGACAAUGGGGGAAACCCUGAUCCAGCGACGCCGCGUGAGUGAAGAAGUAUUUCGGUAUGUAAAGCUCUGUCAGCAGGGAAGAAAGAAAUGACGGUACCUGACCAAGAAGCCCCGGCUAACUACGUGCCAGCAGCCGCGGUAAUACGUAGGUGGCAAGCGUUAUCCGGAUUUAUUGGGUGUAAAGGGCGUGUAGGCGGGAGCGCAAGUCAGAUGUGAAAACUCAGGGCUCAACCCUGAGCCUGCAUUUGAAACUGGGUUUCUUGAGUGCUGGG
This 305-nucleotide ribosomal RNA is filed under the name uncultured bacterium. RNAcentral describes it as "bacterial SSU rRNA". It matches the Rfam family "Bacterial small subunit ribosomal RNA", at positions 334 to 653 of the family's 1533-position model. The record is from RNAcentral.